UAUGUUGUAUUGGGCUUUUCGGUUCCAGAGUCUGACUCGUCUCGGGCUUCGAUAAAUACCAACCGCCUAACAACUCCACGCACGAAGUAGUGGCGGAGGAAGCACGCGACGCUGCGGUUCGUCCAUCGCCUUCGAUCUGCCGACCUUGAUCUUGAAUCGCCUAUUUGGGUUUUUGGUAUGGCGAAGAUAUUGGUAUUGCUCUGUAUCUUGUUUUCGUUUUGUCUCCGAUCUCUUUGGGUCUCAUCGAAUCGCAUGCGACGCUUUGGAGAGGGCGAGCAUUUGGUUCGUCCAUCUAUGGCCUUGGGUCUCUCCCUUGGGGUUAUCUGGUCAUGGUAUGUCAAGAUCCUGCCAUCCUUCUUGACAUGUGUUUCUUGGUGGUAGAUUCUGUUGUUGCGAUACGUCGGUUCUUGAAUGGUUGCUGCCUUGUUUGAUCGGAGUCGGUAGAUUUAGAAGCAUGACUGUGGAAACCUCGUCUUCGAGAUGCUCCGCUUGUUCUUCUUGGAAUCUAGGGUUAGGGUUAUCUUGUUUGGCCGGAGCCGAUAGAUUUGGUAGUGUGACCGUUGAAACAACAUCUUGGAUGUGCUUUGUUUCUUCUUGUUUGAAUAUAGGGUUGAGGUUAUCUUGUUUGGCCGGACUCGUAAGAUUUGGUAGCAUGACGGCUGAGUUCUCGUCUUGGAUGUGCUUCGGUUCUUCUUCUUUGAAUCUAAGGUUAGGGUUAUGUUGUUUGGCCGGAGUUGGUAUAUUUAGUAGCAUGAUGGCUGAGUUUUCGUCUUGGAUAUGCUUUGGUUCUUCUUCUUUGAAUCUAAGGUUAGGGUUAUGUUGUUUGGCCGGAGUUGGUAUACAUAGUAGCAUGACGGCUGAAAUCUCAUCUUGGAUCAGACCCACUUUUUCUCGAAUUUGGAAGAAUUGUUGCACUCACAUUGUUGACAUGUUGAUUGGCGGACUAAUUAUAUAUUAUCUCAUGUAGUUAAGCUAUCUUUAGUAUCCUAAUCCCUAUAUUUUAAAAAGUUACAUUAACAUCUUUAUAGCUGCGAAAGUAAAACAUCUAACUCCAUUUAUCCUAACGUCGUUUGUUUGAGCAAUAAAAACACGAAAACAAAGGACAAAAAAUAUAAUUUUAGCAUUUCAAUUGGUGGUGGCAGACUAUGUCGAUGGUGGCGAACGACGUCGCCGUUGGGGCCGUAGAUGGCUGUUGUGGAUGAGGAAAGCGGCGAUGAGAGGUGAGGGUCGCUUUGUAUUGUGUCGAUGCAAAUGCAGUUGCCGAGCGGUGAAAGGGUCGAUGCAGAUACUGAGUGGUGUCGCUCUAUAUCUGCGUCGACGCAGUUACCGAGUGACGCCACUCGAUAUCUACAUCGGUAGCCCUUGCGUCGCUCAGCAAAUGCAUCUGUGUCGACGUAGUUGCUAAGCGACAAAAGGGCCGUCGAUGCAGAUGCCAAGAUGCCCUCAUCUCUUACCGUCACUCUUUUAUCCACAAUAGUCACCCGUAGCCUCCAAUGGUGUUGUCGUCGCCGCCACCGACGUCGUCCGUCAUCGCUAACUGGAAUAUUAAAAUUAUAUUUUUUGUCUUUUGUUUUUAUAUUUAUGUUAAUAAAACCGAUGGCGUUAGGGUAAAUGGACCUAGGUGUUUCACUUUCAUAACUAUAGAGAUGCUAAUUCUUUUUAAAGUAUAGAUAUCGGGAUGCUAAAAGUAGCUAACUACAUGGGUUAACCUGUAAUUAGUCCUUGAUUGGCUGUUGAUUGUCCUUUCUUGAGUACAUGUUGGUUUUAUUUGCAUUAUUACUUUUCUCUUUUUGUCUAGGGAGUUUUUAGGUUUGUUUCCUUGAUGUUCAAUUCCUUCUUAUUCAGCCAUUUCACUAAACUUACUGCUUUUCUAAAGUCCUUUCAUCUUCUAAACCCUAAAUUUUUCUUUUUGUAUGUUCCUCAUCAUGUUUAUACAUAGCACUGAGUUAGACAUAUGAUAUUUUAUUAGUAUUCUAAGCAAUUGUAUUCAGCGAAUUAUUGCACUUUUGUGCCUUUUAUUUCCCUUGUAGGCAACGAAAUUCUUAGUGAUAUAGGGAUUCUGUGGGAACUUUUAGAAUGGACUAGUUGGAAAUUGAUUGCAUGUAUAGGCUUGCAAUUAUUAUUUUGAGAGAUGCUAAAUUUGCUCCACUUGUCUAUUUCCAGUUUUUUACAUGCACUGCAUGACAAAUGUACAGCUAGAGCAAUGGAUAACUCACGAUGCUACUGUCAUGCAUCUGUUUUGGAGUUUUGCUUGUUAAUAUUUCCUUGGUCAUUUUGUUUUUCUGUGUGCCUAUUGGAGAUCAAUUGCCUGUCAACUUUCAUGCACAAUUGUGCUGCAUGUCCACAGUGAGAUCUUUGUCAGGCCUCAGUUGUUUUUUCAUGCUUCAUUAGAUGCAUUGACCAGGCUUUAGCAGUUGAUUUUUCCGUCAUACACAACAUACAGAUUUGGCCUGACUUAUUUUCUGCAUGCUUUCCCCUACCAUCGGUUUAGAACUUGAAAGCAUAAACCUAUUAACCAAGUCAUCUAUACAUUUUUUUCUCUUUUAAUUAAUCCUUGUUUCUUGGUUAUAUCCCUGUGAGUUGUGAAGGUUAGUGCAGAAGCAAUAUAAAGUUCUCACCAUUAAAAACUUACCAUUGAGAAGAAUGACUCCAAAGAGAACCCGUGUAUAGUCAUAAAAUAUGUACAUUUUGCACUUGUAAAGGUGCUGCAAAAAUAAAGAUAUUGUUAUCCUAUGCUUAUUUGUUUGCAUCAAAUUGUUUCCUUAUGCAUGCAUCAUAAGGAUUGCUUAGUGGCUUCAUGUUACAUUUUAGUUUUUGUGAAACUAGUAAUUGUAUGAUUUUCAAUAUCACUGCAUGGCUCCAUGAAGAAUUUCACAUAUUGAAUAUAAUGCUCAAAGUAUUGAGAUGCAUGGAUGGUUUGUACUAGUUUGUUUUGUUUACUCUUAACUUUGUAGUACCUAAUUUGGAUUAAAGUGGAGACGCAAGAAACAGUACAAGUGAUGCGUGGUGCCAUCACUGUGCAAAUCUGUGGAAAUCUUGAGAAUUUGCUGGGCAUCUGUGCAAAUCUGCAUUCUUGAGUGCUUGAGUUUAGCCAUCUUCUGCAAAUCCUCCAAUAAUGCUAAACAUUCAGCUUCUAUUCGAGACGCAGCUUGACAUGGCCUUCCUCCAAGCAUCAUGAUAUCUCCGUUUAUCUUAUUAAUUACAAAGCCAAUUCCUGCAAAAGAUAUCUUGCUCAUCUUAGUUUGUUCUAUGGCCAUAUAUCUCGUUGGUUACAAAAGGAGCUCCAGAAGAGUGACCAAAAAAGAAUUCAUGUCUAGUUGCCAUCUAUAGAUGCACCAGUAAGUUCCAAUCGUUCAGCCAGAUUUGUUGAUCAUGGUAAGAAGUUCUUCUAUAUUGUCUUCUUGUGCCAUAUGUGCUGUGAAUAUGAUGAUCCUUGAUCUCGUAAGAAGUUCCAAGCAUCAUGAUCAUGUAAGAAGUUCUAAAUGGUUUUUUGCCUAUGCAUGAUUGUUUAGGUAGUUCUUUGCAUUUAUGCUUGGUUAAUCUGAUGUUCUAGGCAAAUGCUGAGUUUUAGCUAAAGAUUCCCCAGCUGCUUUUUGUUAGAUUUGUUGCUAGUUGAGUUUUGCAUGAAUGUACAUUUUGAGCAGUCUGAUUCAUCACCGCUUAAAGAUCUUCUUCUUCUUCAGGUUUAUUAAGGCUUUUACACUUCACUAUAGCACUAGUUCAACAAACAAGGCAAAUUCAAGUAAUGUCAAAAGUUACUUUUGUGCAGUCUAAUUCAACACCACUUGACGAGUUUAUUAGUUUUGGUAAAUCUGAGUUCUAUUCCUCCGUGUUUAAUUUUUAUCUUGUAAUAGCACUGCGAAUGAAAAAUUUUCAACUUUACAAGGCUUCUGUUUGUCACACUUACCUUCUCUAGAUUGCCCAAAGAUGUUCAUUAAUUGUCGAUUUGAUGUGUGUUGAUGUAAUUUGAAAGGAGAAAAGCAACAUGUAUUCACACAUCUUUCUUCCCGCUUUUUCUUGAUGUCAAUUCGCACAUCUUUCGGUUAGAUCCUUUUCCUCUUGACAUUAUGUGGCAUGACAAACAUGUUUUGAUUGAGUGCUUAAUAAACAAGAUUGGUGCUGCUGACCUUGUCUGUUCAUCAACAAAUCUGUAAAGAUUUUUCGAACGGGAGUUCAUCAAUGCUAGUGUGUUCUCACAAAGCCUGUCACCGUGGAUGUAGGUGCUGAGAAACUUGUGAACGUAGAUUUAAAAGAGUUUCUUUGUAGGAACACGAGAUCGUAAAAGCAGGUUAAAAACUAUGUUAAUAACUCGAGUUGGAGCCCGAAAUCCUUUCGACAAACUCAAUGCUCUGCAAGAUGCUCUGUAUGUGCCAGCCAGGUGACAGCUCAACCUAAUGUAAUCAAGGCAUGGUGACCAUGAUAAUCUCAUGUAUGUUAGUCAGCAUAAAUUAUUACAUUGCAUGGCCUGAGAAGAAAGAUCAGAAUCAUUGCAAUAGAUGAAAUACUUCAAUUGCUCU
Long non-coding RNA from Musa acuminata AAA Group (dessert banana), 4517 nucleotides. RefSeq lists it as uncharacterized. Lineage: Eukaryota; Viridiplantae; Streptophyta; Magnoliopsida; Zingiberales; Musaceae. The record is from RefSeq and is a predicted model, not a curated record. The transcript has 2 exons.